RNAcentral lists this long non-coding RNA (1474 nucleotides) under Nicotiana tabacum (common tobacco). RNAcentral describes it as "long non-coding RNA (NTAB_LNC010428)". Lineage: Eukaryota; Viridiplantae; Streptophyta; Magnoliopsida; Solanales; Solanaceae. The record is from RNAcentral.
GCACCUGCGACUUUCACUUAGAGGCCUGGAUCCGCACCUGCGAUUCCCUUUUCACAGAUGCAGCACCGCUUCUGCGGUAUUACUUCCGCAUUUGCGGAACCUGUAGCUCCUUCCCAGCUCCGCUUCUACGAUGGCUCCACUGCAUCUGCGGCUCCUGCUGGACUCCCCAAUUUUUCUUCUGCAGUUGAAAUGCCGCUUCUGCGGCUCCGCACCUACGGGACCCAAACCGCAGUUGCGGUUAUGACAGAUGCCAACAAUGUAAAAACCUUCCUAACUCCAAAUUCAACUUCCGCUAAGCACCAGAAACUCACCCGAGGGCUCUGAGACCUCAACCAAACAUGCCAGCCAAUCCCAAAACAUCAUUCAAACUUAUUCCAACCUUUGGAACGCUCAAAACAACACCAAAACACCAAUUUAACCUCGGAUUUAAGCCUAAGAACUCCAAAACUCUAGAAAUGCGCUUUCGAUUAAAAAGUCUAUUAAACCUCGUCCGAAUGACCUGAAUUUUGCACAUACGUCACAUUCAACACUACGAAGCUACUCCAACUUCCAGAAUUCCAUUCUGACCCUCGGAUCAAAAUCUCACUAUCGGACCGGAAACUCCAAAAAUUCAACUUUCGACAUUUCAAGCCUAAAUUAGCUACGGACCUCCAAAACACAAUCCGAUCAUGCUCCUAAAUCCGAAAGUUUCCAACAGAGCUAACGGAACCAUCGGAUUUCCAUUCCGAGAUUGUCUUCACAUUGCUCCAACUACCAUCAACUUUCCAACACUUAAGCUCUCAUUUAGGGACUAAGUGUCCCAAAACUCUCCGAAACUCAAAACCAAACAUCCCGGCAAAUCAAAAUAGCAAAAAUAAACUUGGAGAAAGCAAUUAAUAGGGGAUAGGGGCGUUAAUUCUUAAGACGACCGGCCGGGUCGUCACAAUUCGAUAUCAAAUGGGACAGGGUACCGGCCUACCCAUAAGUUUGUAGCAAAACUCUGACAGAAUGACUCAUAGACUCGCUGUACUCCGAAUGAGGUAGAGUCUUACCGAUUCUUUGCUGAAUGCUACUCUUGUAUACUAUGAGGGCUCGUCAAACUAAUUGUUUAUACCUGCAGGCAUGAAUGCAACAUCCCCAACAAAAGGACGUCAGUACGAAUACUGUACUGAGUAUGUAAGGCAGAACUGAAACAUAACAAUAAGUCAACAUUAACUAAAGAUAUGGAAGAAAUAUAGAGUAAAUGACUUAAACUGUAAGUUUGGAUGACUCUGUAAAUCAUGAAAUACUUAUAGUGCUAUGCAUAUGCGUAUGAAUGUCAUGUCGUGCAUGGGUACAUGUGUUCGUAACAUCAUCAUACCUCUGAGAGCAUCCCAUCACAUCAUCAUGACCACUGUGGGCAAAUCAUCAAUGUAUACCAGCUGAUCAGGUGGUGGUGCGUAUAUAACGCCAUAAAUUUCCCAUAUUCCAUAUAUAUAUAUAUAUAUAUAUAUAC